Molecule: ribosomal RNA, 850 nt
Filed under: Monacha roseni
Lineage: Eukaryota; Metazoa; Mollusca; Gastropoda; Stylommatophora; Hygromiidae
Description: partial 16S ribosomal RNA
Source: RNAcentral
GUGCUUUAUUAUUAUUUUAGUAUAUAAAACUCACGAAGCCAUUUGAGCUAAUUUUUAUUUUAUAUUAGAAAAAUCAAUUUAGCGUAGUAAAGCUAAAGAUAUAAUAGAAUUUAGGGGUGAAAGGCCUGUCAAAACUGGGGAUAUCUUGAUAUUGGGGAAAUAUAUUUAGUAUAUAGUCAACUUGAUAAUGGUAAGGUUCUCAAGAGUUAUAAUUUAGGGUGUCGGAUUUUCUGGGCUUCGUAAUAGAUACCAGUUUGAUUAUAUUAAUACACCAUACUUUUAAUAUAUAUAUAAUACCUAAAUAAGCAAAGUAACUAACUAAUUGUUUUAAUAAUGAUCUUAUUAGUAUUAAUUUAAUUUUAGUUGAGGAACUCGGCAACUAUAUUUCUCGACUGUUUAUCAAAAACAAGUUUUAAGCUUUUUAUUUAAAAUCAAACCUGCUCAAUGAAAAUUUAAAUAGCCGCAGUACCUUGACUGUGCAAAGGUAGCAUAAUCAAUUGGCUUAUAAUUGAAGUCUAGUAUGAAUGGGAAUUCGGGGAAGCACUGUCUUAAUCAGAAACUAAGAAAUUACUUAAUAAGUGAAAAUUCUUAUUGAAAGAAAAAAGACGAGAAGACCCUAGAAAUUUUUUAGAUGUAUAAUCAUUAAAUUUUGUUGGGGCGACAGGGUAACAAUUAACUUACCUGUUAUAUGUGAAACUUUUAAGUUGUGCAAACAAAUUACUCUAGGGAUAACAGCAUAAUAUUUAAGAGUUUGUGACCUCGAUGUUGGACUAGGGAGUAAAUUACUUAGAAGGUACUUUAAUAAGCUCUGUUCGAGCCCAUUACCCUACAUGAUCUGAGUUCAGACCGG